This 47-nucleotide non-coding RNA is filed under the name Trypanosoma lewisi. The record is from RNAcentral. Lineage: Eukaryota; Euglenozoa; Kinetoplastea; Trypanosomatida; Trypanosomatidae.
GUAUUAAAAUUCAACAAGAAACAAAACAGAAAUAGAGGUGGUGUAUA